This 462-nucleotide ribosomal RNA is filed under the name uncultured bacterium. Its description in RNAcentral is "bacterial SSU rRNA". It matches the Rfam family "Bacterial small subunit ribosomal RNA", at positions 28 to 476 of the family's 1533-position model. The record is from RNAcentral.
GACGAACGCUGGCGGCGUGGAUUAGGCAUGCAAGUCGAACGCGAAAGGACUGCUUCGGUGGUUCGAGUAGAGUGGCGAACGGGUGAGUAACGCGUAGGUAAUCUGCCUUUAAGUGGGGGAUAGCCUCGGGAAACCGGGGGUAAUACCGCACGAAUCCGGAGUAAUCUGGAUAAAGAUGGCCUCUGACAUAAGCUGUUGCUUAGAGAUGAGCCUGCGUCCUAUUAGCUAGUUGGUGGGGUAAGAGCUCACCAAGGCGAUGAUAGGUAGGCGGCCUUAACGGGUGGUCGCCCACACUGGGAUUGAGAUACGGCCCAGACUCCUACGGGAGGCAGCAGUCGAGAAUCGUCUACAAUGGUCGAAAGACUGAUAGUGCGACGCCGCGUGAACGAAGAAUCCCUUCGGGGUGUAAAGUUCUUUUCUGUGUGAGCAAUGCGGGCAAGAUGAAUAGUUUUGUCUGAGAGA